This 1438-nucleotide long non-coding RNA is filed under the name Fukomys damarensis (Damara mole-rat). Its description in RNAcentral is "lncRNA (ENSFDAG00000023711.1)". The record is from RNAcentral. Lineage: Eukaryota; Metazoa; Chordata; Mammalia; Rodentia; Bathyergidae.
AGCCUAUAUAUACCAGACCCUGAAAAAUAAAUGGGGCCUUGCUACGAUAGAGCAUGAGCCUGGAACUAAGUUCGUGAAACUGCUCUCCUGUUGUUCCUCCCUCGGGUUUGGGACCUGCUGGCAGGAUUCUGACGUCGUGGCUCGCGACAAGUGGCGCCCGAACAGGGACCCGAGUAAGAAGGACAUCGAGGAGAGCGCCCUGCGAUCCAGGGCACUACAACAAGAACCGCGACUGAUCCCUGCGGCUCCUGCCGGUAUUCUCCCUUCUCUUCUGCUCCACCUACUUAUGGUUACAGGUAUAUUUAUAGAUCCGCUACUAUCCCUGAAUAGCUUGAAUCUGGAGACCGGAUUGGGACCCCAACACUGGAGCAGCAGAGAGAACUCCAGGAUGUGUCUUGGUGCACAAGCGGAGACUUUAUUGUCCAGAACAAGGAUUCAUUGGAACUGGUUUGGCUAUAGUUGAAGGAUUGUGGUUGCAUACUCGAUUGGACUGUGAUCCCAGAUUUCAACAGCUCUGCCUUACUCCCUUUCCUGUCAAAAACCAUUCUGAGGAAGUCCGAUGACUUUCGUCAUUGCUGCGAGGGUCUUGGAACCGGACAUUUCUAAAUACAACUAAUCAGUUGUCAUUGGACAUUGAGAUAUUGUCUGGUGUUCAUGCCAAUUCUAUCCGGCUUGAUUUAGAUUUUGCUACUGAAGUUUGGGAAAAUUUGAAAAAGCUGUUUUCACCACCUUGGAUUGUUAUAUGGCUUAUUGUUAUUGCUGUUAUGAUUGGGUUGUGUAUUUUGGGUUACUGCUCAUAUCGAUGCUGGAAGCGUUCCCAGUUUAAGUAUGAGCGUUUAGCUAUGGCUGAUGAUACAACACGCGUAGCCAUUUACUUGGCUCAGGCUCGGCGUGCUUAGAUCCCCCACCUUGGGAUACUCAGUGACCGGUAAGGACGGAAGCUUCUGUCUACCAACCUAAGACAGGUCAUAUUGGGACAUAAGCCCUGCGACUGAUGACGGGUAAGGAGAUGGAAGACUUGUGCCGCCUAAAACAGAGGUUCGUUGGUCGAUGAGUUGCUAGCAUUCUUCAUGCUAUCAAAGAGAGAUGGGGGAAUUAUGGUGAGCCAUUAUGGUGAGCUUUGACUUAGGCCUAGCCAUGAUUGAACUUUGAGUCACCUUGCCUGCACGGACGUGCUCUUGCCCAUAGCCAUGGGCGAGUUCAGCUGGUAGCAGAUGUAACCCAUAAUGGUUGUUAUUGUUUCCCUCUGGAAUGUGUGGGCGGUACUCUCGCUCCCGUGUACUCUCGCUCCCAUGCAGCUGAAGAGUAUAAGUGCUUACACUUUUGGUUUCGGUUUUAGCCUAUAUAUACCCGACCCUGAAAAAUAAACGGGGCCUUGCUACGAUAGAGCAUGAGCCUGGAACUAAGUUCGUGAAACUGCUCUCCUGUUGUUCCUCCC